AAACAACGAAGUUGUGUUCUCCUCCUCCUCCGCCCUUCCACCAUCUUCUUCUCUCUCCCUCUGAGGGUCAGAGCAAUAAAGAAAGAUGUCGACGACCACAACAACGUUACAAUCUGCGAAGUCACCGGUGCCGUUGUUGUACCGGCGACAUUCAAGCGGUCAAAUAAGGAACUUAGCCUCAGUGUCAAGUAGUCUGCUGCCGGCUUUUGGAACUGUCGUUGGUGAAGGAUCUUUGCAGCUCAAUAAAUUCGUUAUUGCCCCAUAUGACCGUAGAUACCGGUGGUGGCAAGCAUUUCUUGUAGUUUUGGUGGUUUACUCAGCCUGGUCAUCUCCAUUCGAGCUAGCGUUCAAGAAGGUGGCCACCGACUCACUGUUGCCAGUUGACUUAGUCGUUGAUGCAUUCUUUGGUAUUGAUAUCGUUCUUACUUUCUUCGUGGCUUACUUGGACAAAUCCACCUACUUGCUCGUUGAUGAUCACAAGAAAAUAGCCAUGAGGUAUGUCAAACAUUUAUGGUUUCCCAUGGACGUAGCUUCUACGCUGCCAUUUCAGGUUAUCUACCAAAUCUUCACUGGAAAAAGGCAUUACGGACAAGUCUUUGGGUUCCUCAACUUGCUCAGGCUAUGGCGACUUAGACGUGUUAGCGAACUUUUCUCCAGGCUAGAGAAGGACACUCGCUUCAGCUACUUCUGGACAAGAUACGCGAAACUAAUAUGUGUGACCUUAUUUGCGGUGCACUCAGCUGGUUGCUUCUACUACUGGCUGGCAACACAUCAUCAUGUGGCAGAUGAUACAUGGAUUGGUUCUUUGAUUCCUAAUUUUCAAGACAGGAGUGUGUGGCUGGGAUACACUUAUUCCAUGUAUUGGUCCAUCGUCACUCUCACAACUGUUGGCUAUGGAGAUUUGCACGCAGUGAAUACAGGAGAGAAGAUUUUCAACAUGUUGUACAUGCUUUUUAACAUUGGCCUCACAGCAUACCUAAUUGGCAACAUGACAAAUCUUAUUGUCCACAGUGCUGUCCGAACCUUUGCCAUGAGGGAUGCUAUCAAUGAGAUCCUGCGAUAUGCAAGCAAGAAUCGACUUCCAGAAAGCUUGAAAGAUCAAAUGCUGGCACAUGUUACGCUGAAAUUCAAGACCGCGGAAUUACAGCAAGAAGAAGUACUAGAAGAUCUGCCCAAGGCAAUAAGAUCUAGCAUCGCCCAGCAUCUUUUCCGAAAAACUGUGGAAAGUACUUACCUUUUCAAAGGAGUCUCUGAAGACUUUAUUGUUCAGCUGGUCCCAGAGAUGAAAGCAGAGUAUUUUCCACCAAAAGUUGAUAUUAUUAUACAAAAUGAAAUAUCAACAGAUUUCUACAUUAUUGUAUCCGGAGCUGUGGACGUGAUAACAUACAAAAAUGGCACGGAGCAGUUCCUGUCGAAGACGGGGCCUCCUGAUAUGUUUGGGGAAAUAGGGGUAAUUUUUAAUGUCCCUCAACCUUUCACAGUCAGAACUAGGAGGCUGUCUCAGGUUAUACGGAUCAGCCAUCAUAACUUCAAGCAAUUGCUGCAGCCGUUUACUGAAGAUGGAAAAAUAAUGCUCUCCAACUUCCUUCAGGUUUUCAUUUUUCAAAAAACAUUAGUACAUGUCAUAAAUGGCAUUAUCAAUUUCAGCAUUUGAAAGGGUUAAAAAAGGAGGAGCUGGAAGAGAUACCACUGGUAACAGAAUUCCUUGGAGACUUAAGAACAGAGGAUACAGCAGCAGUGGAGGAAUUAGAGCACCAUGCAGCUGAUGAAGAAGCAAGAAGAACCUCGACAGCAUAUGCAUUUUCCGAGGUGUUGCCUACAAGAAUAAUAAUCCAUGGACAUCACCCUAAUGAAAAACUAACUGAAGGAGAAAGUCCUGGAAAACUGAUCCAUCUUCCUGAUACAAUAGAAGAUCUUCUAAGAUUAGCAGAAAAAUGGUUGAGGAAACGAGGAACUGCAAUUCUCAUGGCAGAUGGUUCUCAAGUGGAAGAUUUGAACGCUUUAAGAGAAAAUGACCACUUGUACAUUUUAUAGAGCAGCCUUGUUGAGCAGAUACGACCAUGCAGACCAUGCAAAAUCAUAUUUUGUUGACAAAGUUUUAUUACAUAUCUUUAAAAAAUUAUUCAAGUACAAGUACUGAGAAUUAUUUUUAACAUUGUAUAUCCCUACCUUCCCAUAUGCAGUUGUAUUAGUAAGAACUUAAACCUAAGUAUUUGAAUAGUGCGGUCAAAAUGAAACCUUAAACCCUUAGCUGAUCACCUGGUUAUUCAGCAUGCUUAUAACAGCAUAGGCAGCUUUCUGA
Coffea arabica (coffee) is the source of this 2302-nucleotide RNA transcript. It is a transcript of the gene named potassium channel KAT3-like, with no coding region annotated. The record is from RefSeq and is a predicted model, not a curated record. Lineage: Eukaryota; Viridiplantae; Streptophyta; Magnoliopsida; Gentianales; Rubiaceae.